UGACAUGCUCACACAAUUUGUUUGCUUGGGACAGAAAUUAAGCAUUGAAACUAUGUUCCACAUGUGUGCUUAGCAUCACAUAAUUCAUAGCAAACUCAGCCGUGUACAAAUCUAGGUUCACCUAUGUAGCAUAUCUGGUUAAAUUUCACAUAUGUGAUUGCAAGUUCCAUCGACAAAUAUGUCCACACAAGUUCCUAAAGAUAAUACUCUACCAUAUCUAGAUCAUACUACUCUACUCUCUACUGUUGCCAAAAGACACAAUAAAACCCAUCCAUAGCCUUUGGUCUUCUUCGCCCUUGGGCCUCGGCGCAUUUGAACAGUACAGCAACAAGAGGCAAAUGAACAUACCAUCAAGGGUCACCUGGUAAGAGUUUUGCACAUUAUGUUAAUUCCCGCAAAGUAAAAAGUGCAAAAUAACAAAGCGGCACAUAUUUGUAGAAGGUAAAAGGUACAAGAACUUGCAGAAACUCGCUGUGCGCCCAAGCGUAAGUGGUCUCAGUAUCACAGACAUACUAUAGCUAUAUCCAGUACAUCAUUUUCCCAUUCAAAAUUCAUAAAGCCAAGCCUAUUUUAUUCAACAUCUUAGUGAAUAGCAAGUCUAUCACUUGGUUGAUUAAACAGAGCAAAGAAUCUAGAACUCUGGUCAGACUUCAUCAGGUGAGAUCAAACCUUAACCUUAUAAUCUACCUGAGACCCUGAUUUAAUAGUUGACAAUAUAUAAGCACAAUCAAAUGUAAAAUGGUUUAGACAAAGAACUAGAGAAAAUAUUAUUAUGCAUGAUAUGAAUCUGUUUAGUAGGUUUUACUAUGUUUGUCUAAAAUAAGUGAAAUUUAAGAGUUGAGCUGAAAAAUACGCAUAUAAUAGCUUACUGUUGUAUUUCAAAGUAAAGUGGCAACAGGCAAGCCUCAUGCAACAUACAAAAAUUAAAAAGGGAUGCCAUUUAUAUACCAUACAUCAAAAUCAUAAAUGUAAAGUGAAAUUUCUUUCGUGCAAUAGAUGUGAAGAUACUACAAGAAUUUAAACCACUAUUCAUAGCUGAGCUAUUGUGAAAGGAGCUUUUGGAUUUACUUUUGUUCCCUCCACUAGGCAUAUAAGAUGUGACAUAUGAUGGAAACAAAUUUUCAGCUACAUAUAUGGUAGAAAAUGUGCGGUAACUGAAAGUGCUAAUAACAUGUGAAAGGAGUAGUAAAAUUACAACCCCAACAUGCCCACAAACAACAGAAAUGUUGCUAUCUCUGGGGUCAAGUCCAAGAAGCUCUUCCUGUAGAUAGAUAAGGACAUUAAUAGGAAUUUGAGAAAAAACCCACAAAGAAACUAGUAAUAUAAUAGGGCACUAUGGCAAACUAUUUUGAAGCACACAACACAAAUCUAUUCGCUCUUACUACAUCAAGUGUUUUCAUCCCUAAUAGGAGCUUCAGAACAUGUUCCAUAAUUUUUUUAAUACUUCAGCAGACUCAAAUGAACAGAGAAAUUCAUGUAGAAUAAUAAUUGUACUAAAAUUACAUAAUGCUAGAACACACCAAAGAUAAUGAUAUGGGCAAAUCCGUUUUUUCACAUUAAGCAUGCGAAAUAAUAAUAUGCGUACAAUAGAGCUCAUGUAUUUGGGAAAAUAAGAAAUGUAUUUGCUGACCAGCAGAUCAUAGAAUUAAAUGUGAACAAGCUUAAAAAGAUCAUUCAAUUGCAGAAAAACUAUUUGCUGGUUAUACCUGAGGGGGAAAGUUAUUAUUGUCCGGCCUGCUGUUUGUCCUGGUCAACGACCUGAACUCAAACCUGUCUUCUCAUGCUGCAGUUCAGAGGAAAGAAAAUAUGGAGUAAGAAGAAUUAGAGCACAUAAUGAGACAAAGGGUGACAAAGGCACGAUGAGAGGGGAUCCGUCGCCGCUGCCGUUCACCAGAGCUAGGUGAGAAGAGGAUGAUAGACGGUGGAAUUGUGAAUUAGCUUUUGUGAUUACCUACUACUAUCACUAACUUUGUUAAUUGGCAUCUCAGUAAAGAUAGUUCCUAUUGUUGUGUGCUGGUAACAAAGUAGAAAAUUGCACAGCACAUGGAUGAUGCACCUGAACCUGACUAGGGAACACUGAAGCAAGCAUGGAAGCAUGGAAACAUCCACAAUAAUAGCAAAGCAUGGAUGAAUAAGCCUAGGAAAUCAUGUAACUACUUGAUUAGUUUAUUUAUCACUUCAAAUCAACAACUUAUUUAACUUCCUCCAACCGUGUGCAGUGUAGGGAAAUCCACGACAAUUACAAAGCAUGAAUAAGCCUAGGAAAUCAAUCAAACACUUGAUUUUCAGCCUGUGUGGUGGAAAAGCAUGGAGGGGAGCUUACCAGACGUGUUGUGGUCAUGAGAAGAGAAUGGGUCCGUAGAUCUCAUCACUUGGCAGUCGUUGAUGAAGCAUGCAGUAGAUCUAAUUUCAUUCCUCACGCGGCAGCUCCAAUCGAUCCCCAUCACCUAACCCGUGAAU
Molecule: long non-coding RNA, 2460 nt
Filed under: Triticum aestivum (bread wheat)
Lineage: Eukaryota; Viridiplantae; Streptophyta; Magnoliopsida; Poales; Poaceae
Description: long non-coding RNA (TAES_LNC025556)
Source: RNAcentral